This 449-nucleotide ribosomal RNA is filed under the name uncultured bacterium. RNAcentral's name for it is "partial 16S ribosomal RNA". It matches the Rfam family "Bacterial small subunit ribosomal RNA", at positions 354 to 796 of the family's 1533-position model. The record is from RNAcentral.
GUCGAGAAUCUUUCACAAUGGGGGCAACCCUGAUGGAGCGACGCCGCGUGGAGGAUAAGGUCUUCGGAUUGUAAACUCCUGUCAUGCGUGAACAAGGUUGCUUGGUUAAUACCUGGGCAAAUUGAUGGUAACGCAAGAGGAAGAGACGGCUAACUCUGUGCCAGCAGCCGCGGUAAUACAGAGGUCUCAAGCGUUGUUCGGAAUCACUGGGCGUAAAGGGUGCGUAGGUGGCGUGGUAAGUCAGAUGUGAAAGCCCGGGGCUCAACCUCGGAACUGCCUCCGAUACUGCCAUGCUAGAGUACUGGAGAGGUGACUAGAAUUCUCGGUGUAGCAGUGAAAUGCGUAGAUAUCGAGAGGAAUACCAAAGGCGUAGGCAGGUCACUGGACAGUUACUGACACUGAGGCACGAAGGCCAGGGGAGCGAACGGGAUUAGAUACCCUGGUAGUCC